This 673-nucleotide ribosomal RNA is filed under the name Variovorax sp. AS3.08. Its description in RNAcentral is "bacterial SSU rRNA". It matches the Rfam family "Bacterial small subunit ribosomal RNA", at positions 8 to 760 of the family's 1533-position model. The record is from RNAcentral. Lineage: Bacteria; Pseudomonadati; Pseudomonadota; Betaproteobacteria; Burkholderiales; Comamonadaceae.
AGAGUUUGAUCCUGGCUCAGAUUGAACGCUGGCGGCAUGCCUUACACAUGCAAGUCGAACGGCAGCGCGGGAGCAAUCCUGGCGGCGAGUGGCGAACGGGUGAGUAAUACAUCGGAACGUGCCCAAUCGUGGGGGAUAACGCAGCGAAAGCUGUGCUAAUACCGCAUACGAUCUACGGAUGAAAGCAGGGGAUCGCAAGACCUUGCGCGAAUGGAGCGGCCGAUGGCAGAUUAGGUAGUUGGUGAGGUAAAGGCUCACCAAGCCUUCGAUCUGUAGCUGGUCUGAGAGGACGACCAGCCAUGCCGCGUGCAGGAUGAAGGCCUUCGGGUUGUAAACUGCUUUUGUACGGAACGAAACGGCCUUUUCUAAUAAAGAGGGCUAAUGACGGUACCGUAAGAAUAAGCACCGGCUAACUACGUGCCAGCAGCCGCGGUAAUACGUAGGGUGCAAGCGUUAAUCGGAAUUACUGGGCGUAAAGCGUGCGCAGGCGGUUAUGUAAGACAGUUGUGAAAUCCCCGGGCUCAACCUGGGAACUGCAUCUGUGACUGCAUAGCUAGAGUACGGUAGAGGGGGAUGGAAUUCCGCGUGUAGCAGUGAAAUGCGUAGAUAUGCGGAGGAACACCGAUGGCGAAGGCAAUCCCCUGGACCUGUACUGACGCUCAUGCACGAAAGC